GACGAACGCUGGCGGCGUGCUUAACACAUGCAAGUCGAACGGUAAGGCCCUUCGGGGUACACGAGUGGCGAACGGGUGAGUAACACGUGGGUGAUCUGCCCUGAACUUCGGGAUAAGCCUGGGAAACUGGGUCUAAUACCGGAUAGGACCACUGCCUGCAUGGGUGGUGGGGGAAAGCUUUUGCGGUGUGGGAUGGGCCCACGGCCUAUCAGCUUGUUGGUGGGGUGAUGGCCUACCAAGGCGACGACGGGUAGCCGGCCUGAGAGGGUGACCGGCCACACUGGGACUGAGAUACGGCCCAGACUCCUACGGGAGGCAGCAGUGGGGAAUAUUGCACAAUGGGCGCAAGCCUGAUGCAGCGACGCCGCGUGAGGGAUGACGGCCUUCGGGUUGUAAACCUCUUUCAGCACCGACGAAGCGCAAGUGACGGUAGGUGCAGAAGAAGGACCGGCCAACUACGUGCCAGCCGCCGCGGUAA
This 478-nucleotide ribosomal RNA is filed under the name uncultured bacterium. RNAcentral's name for it is "partial 16S ribosomal RNA". It matches the Rfam family "Bacterial small subunit ribosomal RNA", at positions 28 to 523 of the family's 1533-position model. The record is from RNAcentral.